AUUGAACGCUGGCGGCAUGCUUUACACAUGCAAGUCGAACGGUAACAGGCCUUCGGGUGCUGACGAGUGGCGAACGGGUGAGUAAUGCAUCGGAACGUGCCCAGAGUUGGGGGAUAACGCAGCGAAAGCUGUGCUAAUACCGCAUGUGAUCUGAGGAUGAAAGCGGGGGACCAGGCAGCAAUGUUUGGCCUCGCGCCUUUGGAGCGGCCGAUGUCAGAUUAGGUAGUUGGUGGGGUAAAGGCCUACCAAGCCGACGAUCUGUAGCUGGUCUGAGAGGACGACCAGCCACACUGGAACUGAGACACGGCCCAGACUCCUACGGGAGGCAGCAGUGGGGAAUUUUGGACAAUGGGCGCAAGCCUGAUCCAGCAAUGCCGCGUGAGGGAAGAAGGCCUUCGGGUUGUAAAACGCUUUUGUACGGAACGAAAAGGCUCUGGCUAAUACCUGGGGCUGAUGACGGUACCGUAAGAAUAAGCACCGGCUAACUACGUG
Molecule: ribosomal RNA, 492 nt
Filed under: uncultured bacterium
Lineage: Bacteria
Description: partial 16S ribosomal RNA
Rfam family: Bacterial small subunit ribosomal RNA
Source: RNAcentral